This 271-nucleotide long non-coding RNA is filed under the name Brassica napus (rape). RNAcentral describes it as "long non-coding RNA (BNAP_LNC012984)". Lineage: Eukaryota; Viridiplantae; Streptophyta; Magnoliopsida; Brassicales; Brassicaceae. The record is from RNAcentral.
UCUAAACCCUAAACCCUAAACUCUAAACCCUAAACUCUAAACCCUAAAUCCUAAACGCUAAAUCCUAAACCCUAAACCCUAAACCCUAAACCCUAAACUCUAAACCCUAAACUCUAAACCCUAAACCCUAAACUCUAAACUCUAAACCCUAAAUCCUAAACCCCACCCUUUAACUCUAACCCCUAAGUUUGUGACUUUUGAUAAAACAUUAAGUGCUAUUUUUGUGACUUUUGAACUUGAGUGCUAGUUUGGGAACAAAAACUUGAUUUAG